AGUGCAAGCACAUGACAUCCUCCAUGAGCAGGGUGGUUACAGAAGCAGAAUUUAAGACGUUGCUUCUGAUUUCAGCUUAUUUUCUUGCUGCUACCUGCUUUGCAAAGAUGACACCAACAGGUUGCUCUGAUACUGGCCUGGGAUAGAGUUGCAGAUCCAAG
Long non-coding RNA from Girardinichthys multiradiatus, 161 nucleotides. RefSeq lists it as uncharacterized. NCBI's taxonomy places the organism in Eukaryota, Metazoa, Chordata, Actinopteri, Cyprinodontiformes, Goodeidae. The record is from RefSeq and is a predicted model, not a curated record. The transcript has 3 exons.